RNAcentral lists this ribosomal RNA (898 nucleotides) under Bacillus altitudinis. Its description in RNAcentral is "bacterial SSU rRNA". It matches the Rfam family "Bacterial small subunit ribosomal RNA", at positions 328 to 1210 of the family's 1533-position model. The record is from RNAcentral. Lineage: Bacteria; Bacillati; Bacillota; Bacilli; Caryophanales; Bacillaceae.
GCCCCGGACUCCUACGGGAGGCAGCAGUAAGGGAUCUUCCGCCAUGGAAGAAAGCUUGACGGGAGCAACCCCGCGGGAGUGAUGAAGGUUUUCGGAUCGUAAAGCUUUGGUUGUUAGGGAAGAACAAGUGCGAAGAUUAACUGCUUCGCACCUUUGACGGUACCUAACAGAAAGCCACGGCUAACUACGUGCCAGCAGCCGCGUAAUACGUAGUUGGCAAGCGUUGUCCGAAAUUAUUGGGCGUAAAGGGCUCGCAGGCGGUUUCUUAAGUCUUGAUGUGAAAGCCCCCGGGCUCCAACCGGGGAGGGUCAUUGGAAACUGGGAAACUUGAGUGCAGAAGAGGAGAGUGGAUUCCACGUGUUAGCGGUGAAAUGCGUAGAGAUGUGGAGGAACACCAGUGGCGAAGGCGACUCUCUGGUCUGUAACUGACGCUGAGGAGCGAAAGCGUUGGGGAGGCGAACAGGAUUAGAUACCCUGGUAGUCCACGCCGUAAACGAUGAGUGCCUAAGUGUUAGGGGGUUUCCGCCCCUUAGUGCUGCAGCUAACGCAUUAAGCACUCCGCCUGGGGAGUACGGUCGCAAGACUGAAACUCAAAGGAAUUGACGGGGGCCCGCACAAGCGGUGGAGCAUGUGGUUUAAUUCGAAGCAACGCGAAGAACCUUACCAGGUCUUGACAUCCUCUGACAACCCUAGAGAUAGGGCUUUUCCUUCGGGGACAGAGUGACAGGUGGUGCAUGGUUGUCGUCAGCUCGUGUCGUGAGAUGUUGGGUUAAGUCCCGCAACGAGCGCAACCCUUGAUCUUAGUUGCCAGCAUUCAGUUGGGCACUCUAAGGUGACUGCCGGUGACAAACCGGAGGAAGGUGGGGAUGACGUCAAAUCAUCAUGCCCCUUAUGACCU